GAAGGGGAGGGAGAAACACCCUUGGUACUUGGUUACUUCUUAUGCUUUACUAUGUCAUUUAUUGUCUAAGAUUUUUAUUCUUGAAUUAUGGAAGUGCAUAUGGUAUUGCUCACGAAAUCUUCUCAUUGGGCUAGACUGACUGGUCAUUUUAAUAUUUAGUAUACUCUCUUUUGAUAAGUGAUUGCCAUCUUUGAAAUGUAGACUUCAGAUAAAAUGGCUAGUUUGUGAAUGAUCACCAGGCUUGUCAUUUUCUCUUAUUUCAUUUUCUUAUCUACCCAUUUUAUUUUAAUGUCCACUAACGAAUGCAUGUGUGGAGUUGUAGAUGUUGGACGUUUGGUUACUUAUUUAAGAGAAAAGUCUGAUUGGGUCUCUUUAUAUUAUUUUAAUUGUUCUAUGAGGUUUCUUUUGGUUAUAUGAGAAUUUUUGGAAAAAAGGAAGUGAUAUUUGAAUUUGAU
RNAcentral lists this unclassified non-coding RNA (455 nucleotides) under Hevea brasiliensis (rubber tree). Lineage: Eukaryota; Viridiplantae; Streptophyta; Magnoliopsida; Malpighiales; Euphorbiaceae. The record is from RNAcentral.